This 2376-nucleotide ribosomal RNA is filed under the name Salmonella enterica subsp. enterica serovar Enteritidis. RNAcentral's name for it is "partial 23S ribosomal RNA". It matches the Rfam family "Bacterial large subunit ribosomal RNA", at positions 582 to 2925 of the family's 2925-position model. Lineage: Bacteria; Pseudomonadati; Pseudomonadota; Gammaproteobacteria; Enterobacterales; Enterobacteriaceae. The record is from RNAcentral.
GGUUUACCUGUGUGACUGCGUACCUUUUGUAUAAUGGGUCAGCGACUUAUAUUCUGUAGCAAGGUUAACCGAAUAGGGGAGCCGGAGGGAAACCGAGUCUUAAUUGGGCGUUAAGUUGCAGGGUAUAGACCCGAAACCCGGUGAUCUAGCCAUGGGCAGGUUGAAGGUUGGGUAACACUAACUGGAGGACCGAACCGACUAAUGUUGAAAAAUUAGCGGAUGACCUGUGGCUGGGGGUGAAAGGCCAAUCAAACCGGGAGAUAGCUGGUUCUCCCCGAAAGCUAUUUAGGUAGCGCCUCGUGAAUUCAUCUCCGGGGGUAGAGCACUGUUUCGGCUAGGGGGCCAUCCCGGCUUACCAACCCGAUGCAAACUGCGAAUACCGGAGAAUGUUAUCACGGGAGACACACGGCGGGUGCUAACGUCCGUCGUGAAGAGGGAAACAACCCAGACCGCCAGCUAAGGUCCCAAAGUCAUGGUUAAGUGGGAAACGAUGUGGGAAGGCCCAGACAGCCAGGAUGUUGGCUUAGAAGCAGCCAUCAUUUAAAGAAAGCGUAAUAGCUCACUGGUCGAGUCGGCCUGCGCGGAAGAUGUAACGGGGCUAAACCAUGCACCGAAGCUGCGGCAGCGACACUGUGUGUUGUUGGGUAGGGGAGCGUUCUGUAAGCCUGCGAAGGUGGCCUGUGAGGGUUGCUGGAGGUAUCAGAAGUGCGAAUGCUGACAUAAGUAACGAUAAAGCGGGUGAAAAGCCCGCUCGCCGGAAGACCAAGGGUUCCUGUCCAACGUUAAUCGGGGCAGGGUGAGUCGACCCCUAAGGCGAGGCCGAAAGGCGUAGUCGAUGGGAAACGGGUUAAUAUUCCCGUACUUGGUGUUACUGCGAAGGGGGGACGGAGAAGGCUAUGUUGGCCGGGCGACGGUUGUCCCGGUUUAAGCGUGUAGGUGUGUGUUCCAGGUAAAUCCGGUUCACUUUAACACUGAGGCGUGACGACGAGGCACUACGGUGCUGAAGCAACAAAUGCCCUGCUUCCAGGAAAAGCCUCUAAGCAUCAGGUAACAUCAAAUCGUACCCCAAACCGACACAGGUGGUCAGGUAGAGAAUACCAAGGCGCUUGAGAGAACUCGGGUGAAGGAACUAGGCAAAAUGGUGCCGUAACUUCGGGAGAAGGCACGCUGACACGUAGGUGAAGUGAUUUACUCAUGGAGCUGAAGUCAGUCGAAGAUACCAGCUGGCUGCAACUGUUUAUUAAAAACACAGCACUGUGCAAACACGAAAGUGGACGUAUACGGUGUGACGCCUGCCCGGUGCCGGAAGGUUAAUUGAUGGGGUCAGCGCAAGCGAAGCUCCUGAUCGAAGCCCCGGUAAACGGCGGCCGUAACUAUAACGGUCCUAAGGUAGCGAAAUUCCUUGUCGGGUAAGUUCCGACCUGCACGAAUGGCGUAAUGAUGGCCAGGCUGUCUCCACCCGAGACUCAGUGAAAUUGAACUCGCUGUGAAGAUGCAGUGUACCCGCGGCAAGACGGAAAGACCCCGUGAACCUUUACUAUAGCUUGACACUGAACAUUGAGCCUUGAUGUGUAGGAUAGGUGGGAGGCUUUGAAGUGUGGACGCCAGUCUGCAUGGAGCCGACCUUGAAAUACCACCCUUUAAUGUUUGAUGUUCUAACGUGGACCCGUUACCCGGGUUGCGGACAGUGUCUGGUGGGUAGUUUGACUGGGGCGGUCUCCUCCUAAAGAGUAACGGAGGAGCACGAAGGUUGGCUAAUCCUGGUCGGACAUCAGGAGGUUAGUGCAAUGGCAUAAGCCAGCUUGACUGCGAGCGUGACGGCGCGAGCAGGUGCGAAAGCAGGUCAUAGUGAUCCGGUGGUUCUGAAUGGAAGGGCCAUCGCUCAACGGAUAAAAGGUACUCCGGGGAUAACAGGCUGAUACCGCCCAAGAGUUCAUAUCGACGGCGGUGUUUGGCACCUCGAUGUCGGCUCAUCACAUCCUGGGGCUGAAGUAGGUCCCAAGGGUAUGGCUGUUCGCCAUUUAAAGUGGUACGCGAGCUGGGUUUAGAACGUCGUGAGACAGUUCGGUCCCUAUCUGCCGUGGGCGCUGGAGAACUGAGGGGGGCUGCUCCUAGUACGAGAGGACCGGAGUGGACGCAUCACUGGUGUUCGGGUUGUCAUGCCAAUGGCACUGCCCGGUAGCUAAAUGCGGAAGAGAUAAGUGCUGAAAGCAUCUAAGCACGAAACUUGCCCCGAGAUGAGUUCUCCCUGAGACUUAGAGUCUCCUGAAGGAACGUUGAAGACGACGACGUUGAUAGGCCGGGUGUGUAAGCGCAGCGAUGCGUUGAGCUAACCGGUACUAAUGAACCGUGAGGCUUAACCUUACAACGCCGAAG